AAGGAACUAAACGUCUACACAAGUUCUAUGAUUCGCUUUAGAUCAUAUACAUAUAUCCAUUUCAUCAAACUUGUACAUUCAUAAAGUCUUUACAUUUCAUUACAUCAGUUGCAUCAUUUCUUUUUACAUCACAUUGCCUCAAAACAAAACUUUACAUUUUUUACUUUACAUUAAACAUCUUCACGUACAAAAGAUGACAAUAAGGUAGCUACUAACAAAGUAUGAAAUAACCCAAC
RNAcentral lists this long non-coding RNA (236 nucleotides) under Ananas comosus (pineapple). Its description in RNAcentral is "long non-coding RNA (ACOM_LNC042186)". The record is from RNAcentral. Lineage: Eukaryota; Viridiplantae; Streptophyta; Magnoliopsida; Poales; Bromeliaceae.